AGUCAAUAGAUACCCGGGUAGUCCACGCCGUAAACGAUGAGUACUAGGUGUAGGAGGUAUCGACUCCUUCUGUGCCGCAGUUAAACACAAUAAGUACUCCGCCUGGGAAGUACGGUCGCAAGAUUAAAACUCAAAGGAAUUGACGGGGGCCCGGCACAAGCAGCGGAGCAUGUGGUUUAAUUUCGAAGCAACGCGAAGAACCUUACCUAGACUUGACAUCUCCUGAAUAGUGUAGAGAUACAUGAAGCCCUUCGGGGUCGAGGAAGACAGGUGGUGCAUGGUUGUCGUCAGCUCGUGUCGUGAGAUGUUGGGUUAAGUCCCGCAACGAGCGCAACCCUUAUUACUAGUUGCUACCAUUAAGUUGAGCACUCUAGUGAGACUGCCC
RNAcentral lists this ribosomal RNA (385 nucleotides) under uncultured bacterium. RNAcentral describes it as "bacterial SSU rRNA". It matches the Rfam family "Bacterial small subunit ribosomal RNA", at positions 775 to 1154 of the family's 1533-position model. The record is from RNAcentral.